GCGGCGGUGCUAAACAUGCAAGUCGAACGAUGAAGCCGGAGCUUGCUCUGGUGGAUUAGUGGCGAACGGGUGAGUAACACGUGAGUAACCUACCCUUGACUCUGGGAUAAGCCCGGGAAACUGGGUCUAAUACCGGAUAUGAGUCAUCACCGCAUGGUGGUGGUUUGAAAGAUUUAUCGGUCUUGGAUGGACUCGCGGCCUAUCAGCUUGUUGGUGAGGUAAUGGCUCACCAAGGCGACGACGGGUAGCCGGCCUGAGAGGGUGACCGGCCACACUGGGACUGAGACACGGCCCAGACUCCUACGGGAGGCAGCAGUGGGGAAUAUUGCACAAUGGGCGGAAGCCUGAUGCAGCGACGCCGCGUGAGGGAUGACGGCCUUCGGGUUGUAAACCUCUUUCAGUAGGGAAGAAGCGAAAGUGACGGUACCUGCAGAAGAAGCACCGGCUAACUACGUGCCAGCAGCCGCGGUAAUACGUAGGGUGCGAGCGUUAUCCGGAAUUAUUGGGCGUAAAGAGCUCGUAGGCGGUUUGUCGCGUCUGUCGUGAAAGUCCGGGGCUUAACCCCGGAUCUGCGGUGGGUACGGGCAGACUAGAGUGCAGUAGGGGAGACUGGAAUUCCUGGUGUAGCGGUGGAAUGCGCAGAUAUCAGGAGGAACACCGAUGGCGAAGGCAGGUCUCUGGGCUGUAACUGACGCUGAGGAGCGAAAGCAUGGGGAGCGAACAGGAUUAGAUACCCUGGUAGUCCAUGCCGUAAACGUUGGGCACUA
This 767-nucleotide ribosomal RNA is filed under the name Micrococcus luteus. RNAcentral's name for it is "bacterial SSU rRNA". It matches the Rfam family "Bacterial small subunit ribosomal RNA", at positions 39 to 818 of the family's 1533-position model. The record is from RNAcentral. Lineage: Bacteria; Bacillati; Actinomycetota; Actinomycetes; Micrococcales; Micrococcaceae.